Molecule: ribosomal RNA, 637 nt
Filed under: Trichoderma longibrachiatum
Lineage: Eukaryota; Fungi; Ascomycota; Sordariomycetes; Hypocreales; Hypocreaceae
Description: eukaryotic LSU rRNA
Rfam family: 5.8S ribosomal RNA (bases 252-405)
Source: RNAcentral
GCGUAUGGCGACGCGGAGGGAUCAUUACCGAGUUUACAACUCCCAAACCCCAAUGUGAACGUUACCAAUCUGUUGCCUCGGCGGGAUUCUCUUGCCCCGGGCGCGUCGCAGCCCCGGAUCCCAUGGCGCCCGCCGGAGGACCAACUCCAAACUCUUUUUUUCUCUCCGUCGCGGCUCCCGUCGCGGCUCUGUUUUAUUUUUGCUCUGAGCCUUUCUCGGCGACCCUAGCGGGCGUCUCGAAAAUGAAUCAAAACUUUCAACAACGGAUCUCUUGGUUCUGGCAUCGAUGAAGAACGCAGCGAAAUGCGAUAAGUAAUGUGAAUUGCAGAAUUCAGUGAAUCAUCGAAUCUUUGAACGCACAUUGCGCCCGCCAGUAUUCUGGCGGGCAUGCCUGUCCGAGCGUCAUUUCAACCCUCGAACCCCUCCGGGGGGUCGGCGUUGGGGAUCGGCCCCUCACCGGGCCGCCCCCGAAAUACAGUGGCGGUCUCGCCGCAGCCUCUCCUGCGCAGUAGUUUGCACACUCGCACCGGGAGCGCGGCGCGGCCACAGCCGUAAAACACCCCAAACUUCUGAAAUGUUGACCUCGGAUCAGGUAGGAAUACCCGCUGAACUUAAGCAUAUCAAUAAGCCGGAGGAA